This is a long non-coding RNA of Manihot esculenta (cassava), 1058 nucleotides long. RefSeq lists it as uncharacterized. The record is from RefSeq and is a predicted model, not a curated record. The transcript is spliced from 5 exons. Lineage: Eukaryota; Viridiplantae; Streptophyta; Magnoliopsida; Malpighiales; Euphorbiaceae.
CGUGAAUGAGAUGCGGCCUUUAUUAAUGGCGCAAAUCAAAUUCAAAUGAUAUCAGUGGAAGAGAAAUUAGUGAGAAAAAAAAUAAUAGCAUUGAUUCCAUUCAAAUGACAAUGGAAGGAUGAGGACUGAUUUCAAAUUUAGUUCAUGGUCAACGAGUCCCACUCAGGCCUAGCUUCUGAAUCUUCCAAAGCUCCGAGGCUUUUCAUUAAAGAAAUGGUUAUGAGGAAUUUCAAAUCUUACGCCGGCGAACAACGCGUUGGUCCUUUUCACAAGAGUUGUGGGGCCCAAUGGGAGUGGCAAGAGCAAUGUAAUAGACGCUAUGUUAUUUGUAUUUGGAAAGCAAGCAAAGCAGAUGAGACUUAACAAGGUUUCUUAGCUUAUCCACAAUUCCACUAAUUACCAGAACCUAGAUAGUGCUGGUGUUUCUGUUCAUUUUCAGGAGAUAAUUGACCUGGUUAGCAAGCACAGCAGUUUCCAGGAAAGCAGGUGCUUCUAUGUUGUUUCGACUGAUGGUAGCAAACAAGAUUUUUCCUAUCGAAAAUGCCUAGAAAACUUUAUCAAGGGGAAGUAUCCUGACUUGGCUCAAUGAUGCCAACGCUUCCUCAGAUGAUUUUGAUUAGAUACAGGCAUUGGUAUCUUCUGCAAUGUAUGUAUGAAACAGAUGUUUUGUGUUCAUAUCUAUGUCUGAAAAUUGAGGAAUUUGUACUAUAUAAAUAUAUGCUUAUGUGCAAACAAGCGGAAUAGAUGAGGAUGAAGGCAAGAUAUUUGGGGCUGAUAUGGAGGGACCUAUCUGGUCCUUUAGACCGACCAGAAUGCCAUUAUCUGCAUGGACGUUGGGAUAUCUCUUCAGUAUGCAUGAUAUGAUGCUUUGGUCAUGAAGGGAAUGGGGGUUUAUUUUGUACCAGGGAAAAUGAGGUUUAUUUUGUACCAGGGGAAUGGGGUUUUAUGGUCCUGAAUCUGAUGAAUUUGUAUUUUUGUAUUUUUCAUGUAUAGAAGAACUUUUUUGUGUAAUGGAUAAUAUGUUUCUUAUAUUAAUGCCUAUAUUUUUUCUUCUCCAA